RNAcentral lists this ribosomal RNA (358 nucleotides) under uncultured Alphaproteobacteria bacterium. RNAcentral describes it as "bacterial SSU rRNA". It matches the Rfam family "Bacterial small subunit ribosomal RNA", at positions 114 to 507 of the family's 1533-position model. The record is from RNAcentral. Lineage: Bacteria; Pseudomonadati; Pseudomonadota; Alphaproteobacteria.
CACGUGGGAACGUGCCUUUUGGUUCGGAAUAGCUCCUGGAAACGGGUGGUAAUGCCGAAUGUGCCCUUCGGGGGAAAGAUUUAUCGCCAUUAGAGCGGCCCGCGUCUGAUUAGCUAGUUGGUGAGGUAAAGGCUCACCAAGGCUACGAUCAGUAGCUGGUCUGAGAGGAUGACCAGCCACAUUGGGACUGGGACACGGCCCAAACUCCUACGGGAGGCAGCAGUGGGGAAUCUUGCGCAAUGGGCGAAAGCCUGACGCAGCCAUGCCGCGUGAAUGAUGAAGGUCUUAGGAUUGUAAAAUUCUUUCACCGGGGACGAUAAUGACGGUACCCGGAGAAGAAGCCCCGGCUAACUUCGUG